AAUCAGAUUUUUUUUGAUUGGAUCGAAAGUGAUUCCAUGUUUCACAUGUUGACAGGAACCUGUGGAUUUGGUUCUUACACCGUUGGUCCACGGAAUCGUUUUCUGUGAUUACACUU
Molecule: small nucleolar RNA, 116 nt
Organism: Alnus glutinosa
Lineage: Eukaryota; Viridiplantae; Streptophyta; Magnoliopsida; Fagales; Betulaceae
Product: small nucleolar RNA snoR2/U65
Exons: 1
Source: RefSeq, a predicted model, not a curated record